GACGAACGCUGGCGGCGUGCUUAACACAUGCAAGUCGAACGGAAAGGCCCUGCUUUUGUGGGGUGCUCGAGUGGCGAACGGGUGAUUAACACGUGAGUAACCUGCCCUUGACUUUGGGAUAACUUCAGGAAACUGGGGCUAAUACCGGAUAUGAGCUCCUGCUGCAUGGUGUGGGUUGGAAAGUUUCGGCGGUUGGGGAUGGACUCGCGGCUUAUCAGCUUGUUGGUGGGGUAGUGGCUUACCAAGGCUUUGACGGGUAGCCGGCCUGAGAGGGUGACCGGCCACAUUGGGACUGAGAUACGGCCCAGACUCCUACGGGAGGCAGCAGUGGGGAAUAUUGCACAAUGGGCGGAAGCCUGAUGCAGAAACGCCGCGUGCGGGAUGACGGCCUUCGGGUUGUAAACCGCUUUCGCCUGUGACGAAGCGUGAGUGACGGUAAUGGGUAAAGAAGCACCGGCUAACUACGUG
Molecule: ribosomal RNA, 468 nt
Filed under: uncultured bacterium
Lineage: Bacteria
Description: partial 16S ribosomal RNA
Rfam family: Bacterial small subunit ribosomal RNA
Source: RNAcentral